UACGGGAGGCAGCAGUGAGGAAUAUUGGUCAAUGGACGAGAGUCUGAACCAGCCAAGUAGCGUGAAGGAUGAAGGUCCUACGGAUUGUAAACUUCUUUUAUAAGGGAAUAAAACCUCCCACGUGUGGGAGCUUGUAUGUACCUUAUGAAUAAGCAUCGGCUAACUCCGUGCCAGCAGCCGCGGUAAUACGGAGGAUGCGAGCGUUAUCCGGAUUUAUUGGGUUUAAAGGGAGCGCAGACGGGUCGUUAAGUCAGCUGUGAAAGUUUGGGGCUCAACCUUAAAAUUGCAGUUGAUACUGGCGUCCUUGAGUGCGGUUGAGGUGUGCGGAAUUCGUGGUGUAGCGGUGAAAUGCUUAGAUAUCACGAAGAACUCCGAUUGCGAAGGCAGCACACUAAGCCGUAACUGACGUUCAUGCUCGAAAGUGUGGGUAUCAAACAGGAUUAGAUACCCUGGUAGUCCACACGGUAAACGAUGGAUACUCGCUGUUGGCGAUAUACGGUCAGCGGCUUAGCGAAAGCGUUAAGUAUCCCACCUGGGGAGUACGCCGGCAACGGUGAAACUCAAAGGAAUUGACGGGGGCCCGCACAAGCGGAGGAACAUGUGGUUUAAUUCGAUGAUACGCGAG
RNAcentral lists this ribosomal RNA (625 nucleotides) under uncultured bacterium. Its description in RNAcentral is "bacterial SSU rRNA". It matches the Rfam family "Bacterial small subunit ribosomal RNA", at positions 340 to 965 of the family's 1533-position model. The record is from RNAcentral.